CAAGUUAAAAGGAGAUCAUUAGGAUGAAUCUUAAUCUGUUCUGAUUAGUGUCCUUGGAAUAUGAGGAAAUGUAUUUAUGUUUUAGAAUAUAUAUUUUUAUAAAAUGAACUGUGACAAAGACAUUUGUAGUGGAGAAAAGGCUGGCAAAAAUGCUCACACACUCCUGCACUCGAGGUGAAAAAUAAUUACACUUGUGGCCUUUGCAUCUGGCUCAGCUCCAGAACUUGGUAUAUUCACAUCACUGUAAAAUGAGGAAAUCCAGAUGCUUACACCUCGAGGGAAGAGCGAGGAGACGCAGGGGAAGAUAGUGAUCAAAGCCAAGGAGAAAGAUCCCUGAAGGAGCCAGUCCCGCCACGCCCUGGCCAUGGAAUUCUGCCUCCCAGACCGUGAGCAAUACUGUUUGUUGUGUAAGUCGCACAGGCUUUGGUGCUUCAGCAGCAUCACUAGGGGACUAAGACACUGUCAUGUCUUCCACCACACUGGCUACAGCCUGUGCACCUUUCCUGGAGCCAAUGGUUGAAAGGUACUACACAGCAGGGCUGGGAGCGAGCCCGGAGCCUCUCCCCAGAUGCCCAGCCACGAAGCCGACAGAGACCCACAGCUGAAGGUCUCCCCAGAGCAGCACAUGCUCACCCACAUUCUGUCACCUUGGCCAGUUCCUCCCUGGGUUUGGGAGUCCAGCCUGUGCAUUCCUUCUUCGCACAGUGUAGGUCCCUGAGGGUAAGAGGACCACACUUUCUUACUUCCAUCCUUCAGCAGGCAUUUGGUGCAGUGUGGCAGUGCGCAGACCCGGGACUGUCCUAAAGCCAACUCACACUCUCCGUGUGUCAGGCAGAAGGAAUCCUUACAGUGACCUGCUUUGAGGUUGCAAAGUGGGGGCACCAUGGCAUGAACUGACACACUUCUUCAGCUACUGGCAGAGUUCCAACCUCAGAUUUGGGCGACCUGUGUAUUCGUCAGUUCUGAAGAUGGAAGCUAAUGUCUGGAGAGAGCUGAAGUAACCUGGAGAGGAUGUGCAGUGUGGGCAGGGAGGAAGUCUGCAGCCUGAAUCCACAGAUAGUGUCACCUCUGGGCUGUGCAGAAGAAAGAAACAACAGGAGAGAAGGAGGAGCAGUGGUAACAACUGUGGAGUUUCACAUGCCGAGCAAAAGAGUUUCAUGAAGGAAAGUCAGAAUGGGAAAAUGACCCAUGAAGGGGAUUGCGAGAAAGAAGGAGUUGUGAAAUCCUCAGGUCAUUGGUUACCUUGGAGGGAGUGUUCACAACCACAUGGAUCUGUACAGAGUGCAGAGGUCAGAAAUGGCACAGCCUGUGGCCCUGUUGGGUGGAAAAGGAAGUGAGUUCACUGAGGGCGUGUCUUGAAAGGGAAUGAUGGGACCUCAUAUCUCCCUCUCUCUCUCUCUCUCUCUCUCUCUCUCUCUCUCUCUCCCUUUUUCCCUCUCCUACUCCUUCCCCCUUCCUUCCUGGCCACCAUGAGAUGAAGAGUCUUCCUCCACCUCAAGUUUCCACCAUGAUAUGUGAGGUUACCUCAGGGCCAAAGCUACAGAGCCAAGUGACCAUGAACUGAAGCACUGAAAUUGCUUGUUUUGUGUCUUGCCAUUUUAUCUAUCCUUGAGAAUGGUUCAUGUGCAGCUGAGAAAAUAUGUACCCUGCAGCUGUUGGAUGAGAAGUUCUACAAAUGUCUGCUCUUUCUAGGGCAUCUUUAAAACUCGUCUUAUGUUUGGAGCCCUCUCAGGCCUUCCAGGAAAACUUAC
This 1751-nucleotide long non-coding RNA is filed under the name Heterocephalus glaber (naked mole-rat). Its description in RNAcentral is "lncRNA (ENSHGLG00000040970.1)". The record is from RNAcentral. Lineage: Eukaryota; Metazoa; Chordata; Mammalia; Rodentia; Bathyergidae.